GUGGGUAUAGUCAGUGGUAGAGUACGGUGCUUAGCAUGCACAAAGUCCUGGGUUCAAUCCCCAGUACCUCCA
RNAcentral lists this transfer RNA (72 nucleotides) under Camelus bactrianus (Bactrian camel). It matches the Rfam family "tRNA". Rfam says of the family: Transfer RNA (tRNA) molecules are approximately 80 nucleotides in length. RNAcentral also lists the same sequence under 2 other names. Lineage: Eukaryota; Metazoa; Chordata; Mammalia; Artiodactyla; Camelidae. The record is from Rfam by way of RNAcentral.